CGGCAUGCCUAACACAUGCAAGUCGAACGGGGUAGCAAUACCCUAGUGGCGAACGGGUGAGUAACACAUAAGCAAUCUGCCCUUCACAGGGGGAUAACAGCGGGAAACUGCUGCUAAUACCGCAUAAGGACCACGGUACCGCAUGGUACAGGGGUAAAAAACAUCAGUGGUGAAGGAUGAGCUUAUGUCCCAUUAGCUAGUUGGUGAGAUAACAGCCCCACCAAGGCGACGAUGGGUAGCCGACCUGAGAGGGUGAUCGGCCACACUGGAACUGAGACACGGUCCAGACUCCUACGGGAGGCAGCAGUGGGGAAUAUUGGGCAAUGGAAGGAAACUCUUACCCAGCAAUGCCGCGUGAGUGAAGAAGGUCUUCGGAUUGUAAAGCUCUUUGAUUGGGGACGAAGAAAGUGACGGUACCCAAAGAACAAGCCCCGGCUAACUACGUGCCAGCCGCCGC
Molecule: ribosomal RNA, 457 nt
Filed under: uncultured bacterium
Lineage: Bacteria
Description: bacterial SSU rRNA
Rfam family: Bacterial small subunit ribosomal RNA
Source: RNAcentral